This 425-nucleotide ribosomal RNA is filed under the name uncultured bacterium. Its description in RNAcentral is "partial 16S ribosomal RNA". It matches the Rfam family "Bacterial small subunit ribosomal RNA", at positions 354 to 795 of the family's 1533-position model. The record is from RNAcentral.
GUGAGGAAUUUUCCGCAAUGGGCGAAAGCCUGACGGAGCAAUGCCGCGUGAAGGAUGAAGGCCUAUGGGUUGUAAACUUCUUUUCUCAGAAAAGAAUUAUGACGGUAUCUGAGGAAUAAGCAUCGGCUAACUCUGUGCCAGCAGCCGCGGUAAGACAGAGGAUGCAAGCGUUAUCCGGAAUGAUUGGGCGUAAAGCGUCUGUAGGUUGUUUAAAAAGUAUUCUGUCAAAGAUUAGGGCUUAACCCUAGAUAGGCAGAAUAAACUUUUAAGCUAGAGUUUGGUAGAGGCAGAGGGAAUUCCCGGUGGAGCGGUGAAAUGCGUAGAUAUCGGGAGGAACACCAAAGGCGAAGGCACUCUGCUGGGCCAAUACUAACACUGAGAGACGAAAGCGAGGGGAGCAAAUGGGAUUAGAUACCCUGGUAGCC